Long non-coding RNA from Olea europaea var. sylvestris, 653 nucleotides. RefSeq lists it as uncharacterized. The record is from RefSeq and is a predicted model, not a curated record. The transcript is spliced from 3 exons. Lineage: Eukaryota; Viridiplantae; Streptophyta; Magnoliopsida; Lamiales; Oleaceae.
UUUAUCGUGUAAUUCCAUACCGGUUCACAACUUUUACUUCUAAUUUUGUUAUGUGAUAUCUAUAUUUUUUUGUCUUUGCAGAAGGCUUCAUCAACAAACAUAGUGAAUUGAUCGAAGAAGUAAAUUAUUGUACUGGUUCACGUCCUUUCUCAUACAUAGUGAAGAAGAUGGCUGAGGGAAGAACAAGUGUUGGACUUGUAAUACAGCAAAAGCUCAACAUAGAGGGCAAAGGGGCAGCAACUUCUCGAAUAUACUUCUUUGGAGGAGAUACCUGGAGAUGAUCCUGAUGUCGAAAUUAAUAUCAUAAUGUCCGUUCUAGGUACGAAGCUCGGGCAUCAAAUUCUCGGGUUAGGAGAUGACCGCCUUCGAGACAUUGGAAUAUCUUCUUCCAAUUUACGCAAUUUGGAGAAGGAGUUGGAAGCAGAACAUAUUGCUCGUAAGAUAGCCGAUGUGGCUCGAGUAAACAUGGAGAAUGAUAUGUAAAAUAAGCUAAAGGUUGUCGAGUAACAAUUCAAUUCUACAUUACAAUCUUGGCAUCUAUAUAAUAAUUAUGUGGUAAAGUUCCUGGGUUCAUUGUACCAUUGUCAAUAGAAAAUAAUGGUAAUGAGAAAGAUGAUGCUAUUGAGGAUGAAGAGAAUAACUUUGGUGAGAAU